This 468-nucleotide ribosomal RNA is filed under the name uncultured bacterium. RNAcentral's name for it is "partial 16S ribosomal RNA". It matches the Rfam family "Bacterial small subunit ribosomal RNA", at positions 28 to 507 of the family's 1533-position model. The record is from RNAcentral.
GACGAACGCUGGCGGCGUGCUUAACACAUGCAAGUCGAACGGAAAGGCCCUGCUUUUGUGGGGUGCUCGAGUGGCGAACGGGUGAGUAACACGUGAGUAACCUGCCCUUGACUUUGGGAUAACUUCAGGAAACUGGGGCUAAUACCGGAUAGGAGAUCCUGCUGCAUGGUGGGGGUUGGAAAGUUUCGGCGGUCGGGGAUGGAUUCGCGGCUUAUCAGCUUGUUGGUGGGGGAGUGGCUUACCAAGGCUUUGACGGAUAGCCGGCCUGAGAGGGUGACCGGCCACAAGGGGACUGAGAUACGGACCAGACUCGUACGGGAGGCAACAGUGGGGAACAUUGCACAAUGGGCGGAAGCCUGAUGCAGCAACGCCGCGGUCGGGAUGACGGCCUUCGGGUUGUAAAACGCUUUCGCCUGUGACGAAGCGUUAGUGACGGUAAUGGGUAAAGAAGCACCGGCUAACUACGUG